RNAcentral lists this ribosomal RNA (542 nucleotides) under uncultured soil bacterium. Its description in RNAcentral is "bacterial SSU rRNA". It matches the Rfam family "Bacterial small subunit ribosomal RNA", at positions 35 to 617 of the family's 1533-position model. The record is from RNAcentral.
GCUGGCGGCAUGCCUAAUACAUGCAAGUCGAACGCGUCUAGCAAUAGACGAGUGGCGGACGGGUGAGUAACGCGUGGGAACCUGCCCUUGAGUGCGGGAUAACCGAGGGAAACUUCGGCUAAUACCGCAUGCGCCCCCUCACGGGGGGAAAGAUUUAUCGCUCGAGGAGGGGCCCGCGUCGGAUUAGCUAGUUGGUGGGGUAACGGCCUACCAAGGCGAUGAUCCGUAGCUGGUCUGAGAGGAUGAUCAGCCACACUGGGACUGAGACACGGCCCAGACUCCUACGGGAGGCAGCAGUAGGGAAUAUUGGACAAUGGGGGCAACCCUGAUCCAGCAAUGCCGCGUGAGUGAUGAAGGCCUUAGGGUUGUAAAGCUCUUUCGCACGCGACGAUGAUGACGGUAGCGUGAGAAGAAGCCCCGGCUAACUUCGUGCCAGCAGCCGCGGUAAUACGAAGGGGGCGAGCGUUGUUCGGAAUUACUGGGCGUAAAGGGCGCGCAGGCGGCCGAUCAAGUCAGGCGUGAAAGCCCCGGGCUUAACCUGG